Molecule: ribosomal RNA, 357 nt
Filed under: uncultured bacterium
Lineage: Bacteria
Description: bacterial SSU rRNA
Rfam family: Bacterial small subunit ribosomal RNA
Source: RNAcentral
GACAAACGCUGGCGGCGUGCAUAAAACAUGCAAGUCGAACGGACCAAAGCCCGCAAGGGCCGAGGUCAGUGGCGGACGGCUGAGUAACACGUAGGUGACCUGCCCUGAAGUGGGGGAUAACUCGUCGAAAGACGAGCUAAUACCGCAUGUGAUCACCGGUUCGUUUCGGUGCUCAAAGUCGCAAGACGCUUUAGGAGGGGCCUGCGGCCGAUUAGCUAGUUGGUGGGGUAAUGGCCUACCAAGGCUGCGAUCGGUAGUUGGUCUGAGAGGAUGACCAGCCAGACUGGGACUGAGACACGGGCCCAGACUCCUACGGGAGGCAGCAGUUAGGAAUUUUUGUGCAAUGGGGGAAACCCU